CGUUUUCGUUACCUAGGAUCUAUCUUGCAAAAGAACGGAGAAUUAGAUGGAGAUCUCAACCAUAGAAUACAAAGCUGGAUGGAUGAAGUGGAAGAGUGCAUCCGGCGUGUUGUGUGACCGCCGUAUGCCACUGAAGCUCAAGGGAAAAUUUUAUAGGACGGCAAUAAGGCCGGCGAUGCUAUAUGGCACAGAAUGUUGGGCGGUGAAACAUCAACACGUACACAAAAUGGGUGUAGCGGAGAUGAGGAUGCUUCGUUGGAUGUGUGGGCACACGAGAAAGGAUAAGAUUAGGAAUGAGGAUAUCCGGGGUAAAGUAGGAGUAGCCGAAAUUGAAGGAAAGAUGAGAGAAAAUCGGUUACGGUGGUUUGGACAUGUGUGCAAAGAAGGCCUACUGACGCUCCGAUUAGAAGAUGCGACUAUGGGACAGAGGUUCAGGGCCGAAGGGGUAGAGGAAGACCUAGGAAAACUUUGGAAGAGACUCUAAGAAAAGACCUAGAGUACUUGGAUCUAACGAAGGACAUGACACAGGAUCGAGCACAAUGGCGUUCUAAGAUUCAUAUAGCCGAUCCCACUCAGUGACUUGGAUUUUCCAAGUCUCCAACCGAGAAGUUUUCCUCACUCGGGAAAUUAAGGGAACACUACCCCAACCUACAUGCUCCACUCAGAAGCUUCAACAUACAAGCUUCAACAAAAGAAAUUUCAGAGAACUUAGCGAAGAAGGCUUUGGUGUAUUUAACACAAUACGUUGAAAUGAAGGAAAGCUUAUUUAUUGAUAUCCCCGAUAAGCUACAAAUAUGUACAUAUACAUGAGUCAAAAUAAACACACAAGAGGGAGCCUUCACAAAGGUUGCUUAGGAGAAGUCUCAGCAGUCGGUAGAGCCCCAGAAAGAGAAGGCACCGGAGGGGGAUCAUUUGGAGCCUCAGUACUGGACAGAACCCUAGAAGGAGGAGGCAUCAGAGGUUGAUCAUUCAGAGCUUCAUUACGCGGUACAGCCCCAGAAGACGAAGGCAAUAAAUGCCUUUGGAACAAACCCACAAAUCUCUGAUGAUCAAGUAAAACCUGACCAUCAGUUUCCUUCAUCUGGUCAAGCUUCCUCUUCAUGUUUGUAGCAUAGUCAUGUGCGAGCCGGUGCAACUGUUUAUUCUCAUGCUUGAGCCCCCUAAUCUCCUGUUUGAGACUCAUCACUUCAGCCGCCAAUGAUUCAACUUGGCGGGUUCGAGCAAAUAGGCGUUGGGCCAUAUUAGACACAGAACCUGCACACUGAACACUGAGAGCCAGCGAAUCCUUAACAGCUAACUCAUCAGACCGUUUGGAAAGUAGUCUGUUAUCUUUGGGAGUGAGAAGGUUCCUGGCCACCACCGCAGCGGUCAUAUCAUUCUUCAUCACGGAAUCCCCAACGGUAAGAGGACCAGUAGGGGAGACGAAGGAUGGGCGCCAUAUGUUGUCUGGAGAAGGCGGGGCUGCCUCUUCAACAAGGUUCAAGUCAAAACGACGGUCGGAGGGGCCAGACAUUUUUCAAAGGUGUUGAAGAGAGAAGAGGUCGGACAAAUCAAGAUCUUAGAAGUGCAAGAAUGAAGCUUCUACUGGUGGAGAUUCAAGUGUGCUUUGGAACUUAAUGCCAGCCCCUAUAAAAAUCUGCACUCGACGGAGCUUCAGAAAUCGAAGAGGCGCCUGCUCAGAAAUCGAAGAGGCGUUUGCUUUCUCAAAAGCUGGGCUGCUUAGAGAUCACGAGGGUUGAUCUCAGAAAUCGAAGAGGCGUUUGCUUUCUCAAAAGUUGGGCUGCUCAAAGACCACGAAGGCCGAUCUCAGAAAUCGAAGAGGCGCUCGCUUUCUCAAAAGCUGGGCUCCCCAGAGACCACGAGGGCCGAUCUCAGAAAUCGAAGAGGCACCUACUUUUCCAGCCUUGUCAGCACCUGUCACACGCACACUCAGCUUUGCGGAAAUUAUGGGCAUUCUGUCGAAGACUUCUGGGGAAGUAGAAAACACAUGAAUCUUACUGUUCAAUCACCCACUUCCCACACGCAACAAUAGCUCAUGGGUACCACAGAUAACUUUGCCAAAGUUCUCUGCCAAAGUUGAGCACGUGAAGCUUGCAGCUCCCACUACAUCGCUCUGACCAAGAAGGGUAAAAGAAUAGCAAAGAAACAGCACUAACAAAGUUUAGACCCAUAAAUUUUGAAGGUCUAGCUACCAUAUUAUUACCCACAAGGGUAAAGGAACAGUACCACUGCUGGAUAAUUGGAAAGUCCCUGUGUGUCAACCUCUGUGCUUCGUGGCAAGGUAGACUAGCAAACAUUCCCAACCUUUACUCACAUUCGAGAAAACACUCCCAAUAAGAUUGCUUGCUCCAAAAUCGAAGAGGCACCGUCCUCCAAAUCUCGAGAGCCAGACUCCCAACAUGACUACUUUCUUAAAAAUCGAAGAGAGGGUAAAGGAACAGUACCAUUGCUGGAUAAUUGGAAAGUUCCUGUGUGUCAACCUCUGUGCUUCGUGGCAUGGUAGACUAGCAAACAUGCCCAACCUUUACUCACAUUCGAGAAAACACUACCAACAAGAUUGCUUGCUCCAAAAUCGAAGAGGCACCGCCCUCCGAAUCUCGAGAGCCAGACUCCCAACAUGAUUACUUUCUCAAAAAUCGAAGAGACACUGCUCCCCGAAUCUUCGAGAGCCAGACCCCCAGCAUGAUUGCUUUCUCAAAAAUCGAUGAGGCAUCGUUCUCCGAAUCAAUCGAAGAGGCGCUCGCUUUCUCAAAAGCUGGGCUGCUCAGAGACCACGAGGGCCGAUCUCAGAAAUCGAAGAGGCACCUACUUUUCUAGCCUUGUCAGCACCUGUCACACGCAACAAUAGCUCAUGGGUACCACAGAUAACUUUGCCAAAGUUCUCUGCCAAAGUUGAGCACGUGAAGCUUGCAGCUCCCACUACAUCGCUCUGACCAAGAAAGGUAAAAGAAUAGCAAAGAAACAGCACUAACAAAGUUUAGACACAUAAAUUUUGAAGGUCUAGCUACCAUAUUAUUACCCAUAAGGGUAAAGGAACAGUACCACUGCUGGAUAAUUGGAAAGUCCCUGUGUGUCAACCUCUGUGCUUCGUGGCAAGGUAGACUAGCAAACAUGCCCAACCUUUACUCACAUUCGAGAAAACACUCCCAACAAGAUUGCUUGCUCCAAAAUCGAAGAGGCACCGUCCUCUGAAUCUCGAGAGCCAGACUCCCAACAUGACUACUUUCUCAAAAGCGAAGAGAGGGUAAAGGAACAGUACCAUUGCUGGAUAAUUGGAAAGUCCCUGUGUGUCAACCUUUGUGCUUCGUGGCAAGGUAGACUAGCAAACAUGCCCAACCUUUACUCACAUUCGAGACAACACUCCCAACAGGAUUGCUUGCUCCAAAAUCGAAGAGGCACCGCCCUCCGAAUCUCAAGAGCCAGACUCCCAACAUGAUUACUUCCUCAAAAAUCGAAGAGACACUGCUCUCCGAAUCUCGAGAGCCAGACCCCCAGCAUGAUUGCUUUCUCAAAAAUCGAAGAGGCAUCGUUUUCCGAAUCUCGAGAGCCAGAUACCACAGACCACUUUUUCAAAGUGCUCUGACAGAGUUAAAACAUGUGAAACUGGCAGCUCCCACUACCGUGCUAUGACCAAGCAGGGUAAAGGAAUAGCAUUACUACUUGUUGUUAGGGAGACUCCUAUAUAUGUCGACCUCCAUCCCCAACGGACAGGCAGACCUGCAAAAAAUGCUCAACCCUUCAUCAUAUCUGAGAGGGCACUCCCAACGAAGCCUUUCGAAAUAUUCAGCUUUCUUUCCCCCCGAUAAUACCUCUGCAAAACAAGCUAUACUAGAGCAAGAAUAUCUCAUAUCAUCAGGGUUAAAAAGCAAGAGUAUCCCAUAUCAUGCUUUUUCCCUGUCUUUUCCUUUGGCCUCGUUUUUACCUGCAAGACAAGGAGAAAGAGAGCAAUCAGUCAGCACUUGGAAUCAAGCUUCCAGCCAGGAACUGACUGCCUGGAACCCCUUACCUGAUUACUUACCUGGCAUUGCUCUCGAGUACUCAUCUUCAACAUGUUAUGUUUUCCAGGGAAGAUUCCGCAUCUGCUUGAGGAACAGAUAGGGCAAGUGCGAAGGAUACAAGGAAGCAUGUGGAGACAAGCGUAACAGCACACGUGCCGAUACAUCCAUUACUCUGUCAAAAGCAAAAGUAUCCCAUAUCAGCAGGGUGGAACGUACUCUAGAUUUGAUGGACUUGUUUUGACCCUCAAAUUCUUCAGUCGGCCUUAUACUCUGGAGGAAACCAGAAAACCCUCCAGCUCAGUUCAAGAAUAAGCCUGUGGAAAGUUACUUCUUCAAAAGCAAAAGUAUCUCAUAUCAUCUCUUCUCAUUUUUCUUCUCUUUAUCCUUCAUGUUGCUGCAAGAUGGGGAGAAGGUGAACAAUCAGUCGGAGCUCUGAUUGCUUACCUUGUCUGUCACCUCUUUCAGUAGACCCCCUAGCUCGGCGACUUGGGGGACUUCUACUACAUGGUUUGUAUCGCGCUUGACCAAGCCUGAAACUACAAGUAAGCUUCAAGUGAAAUUGAUACAUUACCUUGUGCAUCUCCACCAGUUAAAGAUACCACCCCUGGAUGGAGGAAGAGUACUUCCAGAGAAGAUGCCACAUCUACCUAUGAGACAGAUAAGGCAAGUCAAGACGACACCACACUCCGAUACUUAGAAGUUUCGUGAUUACGAGAUCAUUCUCCCACAAUAUUUCCUAAUGUCAUUUGUACUAAAUCAUUCACUUGUACUCACUAAAGGAGAGCUUGAACCUAUGUACUUGUGUAAACCCUUCACAAUUAAUGAGAACUCUUCUAUUCCGUGGACGUAGCCAAUCUGGGUGAACCACGUACAUCUUGUGUUUGCUUUCCUAUCUCUAUCCAUUUAUAUACUUAUCCACACUAAUGACCGGAGCAAUCUAGCGAAGAUCACAAAAAGCGACCGUUUUCGCUACCUAGGAUCUAUCUUGCAAGAGAACGGAUAAUUAGAUGGAGAUCUCAACCAUAGAAUACGAGCUGGAUGGAUUUAGUGUAAGAGUGCAUCCGGCGUGUUGUGUGACCGUCGUAGGCCGCUGAAGCUCAAGAUAAAAUUUUAUAGGACGGCAAUAAGGCCAGCGAUGUUGUAUGGCACAGAAUGUUGGGCGGUGAAGCAUCAACACGUACACAAAAUGGGUGUAGCGGAGAUGAGGAUGCUUCGUGGGAUGUGUGGGCACACGAGAAAGGAUAAGAUUGGGAAUGAGGAUAUCCGAGGUAAAGUAGGAGUAGUCGAAAUUGUAGGAAAGAUGAGAGAAAAUUGGCUCCGGUGAUUUGGACAUGUGCAAAGAAGGCCGACUGACGCUCCAGUUCGAAGAUGUGACUACGGGACAGAGGUUCAGGGCCGAAGGGGUAGAGGAAGACCUAGGAAAACUUUGGAAGAGACUCUAAGAAAAGACUUAGAGUACUUGGAUCUAACGGAGGACAUGACACA
RNAcentral lists this long non-coding RNA (5483 nucleotides) under Malus domestica (apple). Its description in RNAcentral is "long non-coding RNA (MDOM_LNC007045)". The record is from RNAcentral. Lineage: Eukaryota; Viridiplantae; Streptophyta; Magnoliopsida; Rosales; Rosaceae.